Molecule: transfer RNA, 65 nt
Filed under: Abrostola triplasia (dark spectacle)
Lineage: Eukaryota; Metazoa; Arthropoda; Insecta; Lepidoptera; Noctuidae
Description: tRNA-Tyr
Rfam family: tRNA
About the family: Transfer RNA (tRNA) molecules are approximately 80 nucleotides in length. Their secondary structure includes four short double-helical elements and three loops (D, anti-codon, and T loops).
Source: RNAcentral
AAUAAAAUGGCUGAGAUUAAAGCGAUAAACUGUAAAUUUAUUUACGAGAAUAUUCUCUUUUAUUA